Molecule: long non-coding RNA, 576 nt
Organism: Rosa rugosa (rugosa rose)
Lineage: Eukaryota; Viridiplantae; Streptophyta; Magnoliopsida; Rosales; Rosaceae
Exons: 4
Source: RefSeq, a predicted model, not a curated record
GUGUUUGGUAAAUUUUGUAGCCAGAUGCAUUCCUUUGUUUCGUUAAUGAUGUUAAAGUCAGUAAUACAGUUGACCAAAGGGCUCGUAAUAUUAUUCCUGGUGCAGAGGGUUUUCUAAGACAGAAGUUAUCUGGCCAAGGGCUUGCAUUUAUAAUUGCAGGUGGAUCUGUUGUACAGAAAAAUCUUGAGGUGGGCAGGGUACUAUCUGUUGAUGUUUCUUGUAUAGCAGUUGUGACUAGCUACAACAGUCAACGUCCAAAUCAAAUACAAUGGGCCCAUGAGAAGAGCAGUGUUUGAUAUAACUGAGAUCCUCAAGCUAGUAAGAAGGCUUUACAGACUCAUUCUAGAUUCUGCAAAAGAGAGGGAAAAUAUUGAUGGGCGCACCAUUUUCUGCGUUUGCUGGCAUAUAAUAUUCACAUGCAGCAGCUGCUCAUAUUUUUGUCAAUAAUCAUAUUAAUUUUUGAUGGUUUAUUGAUAUUGAUAAUGGCAUGGCACUAGAAUGCUAUCUUGUUUUGGAAUAAUUUGUAUCAGUUUUGGAUAUCCCAAGUAGAUGGGCAUGUAUUAGAAUACUUUUUUU